GCACGCCGUGACGCCCCGAUCCAGGCCUC
This 29-nucleotide small RNA is filed under the name Bombyx mori (domestic silkworm). RNAcentral's name for it is "ovarian small RNA-16365". Lineage: Eukaryota; Metazoa; Arthropoda; Insecta; Lepidoptera; Bombycidae. The record is from RNAcentral.